CAGACGCCAUCCUGGUGGAUAAAGGCUACAAGGUUCCUGCUGGCAGGACGGGAGGCAAGGCCCCUGGCCGGUCGCGUAGACCCUGACUGCUGGCUGUGUGACCUCAGGCUGGUCCCCAAACCUCUCUGGGCAGUGUGUUCUUUGGACCCCGUGCGGGGCCAGCCUCCAGGGAGCGCCUGAGCCAAUCCGGUCCCGGUCCAGGGGACUGGCCCGGCUGGUGCUGCCGUGGGGUCUGAGCACAUGGCCUGGAAGUCACACGGGGCCCUCUCGACAAGGUCAAGCCAUUCUGCGAUCCGAUAGGCAAAGGCACCUGUUUCUUUCUGCCGGGAGUUCCUGCUCUCACCGCCCAUCCUUGACUCGGCCUGGGUGCGGGGCUGGCGCUGGGAUGCUGGGCUCCGUCCCCGGGUCACGGCCCAGCCCUGGCCUGGCUUUGCCAGCGGGCAGCUGGCUGAUCUCUGGCCGGCCGCCCCCGGGAGGGAAACACGCGGAACGUAUGUUUGUGAGGGCAGGUGGGACAGCCCAGGGGUCCCCGGCUGUGCCUGGCUGUCCCCCCUCCCCCAAAACGGCCAGGGGGGCCGUCAGCACGAGAAGGACGUGUCCUUCAGAAAGACAGGUUACCCCCAAACCUGUGAGUGCCCUGAUUUGGAAGUAGGGUCUUUGCAGAUGUCUGGGGGAAUGGGGUCGUGCUGGAUUAGGGUGGGCCUCGAUCCAGUGACCGGGGUCCUCGUGAGAAGAGUGGAACUUAGACACACCGGGAGGAGGGCAAGUAACACUGGAGGUGGAGGUGGAGGUUGCAGCGACAGGUCGGUAAGCCCAGGGACGCCAAGACUGCUGGGGGCGCCCGAAGCCGGGGCAGCGAGCAAGCGUCCCUGAGAGAGAGGGCCACCUGCCCGCGCCUUGACCUUAGACCCCCCGCCUCCAGAACUGCGCCUCCGCUGGGCUAAGCUCCCAGCUGGUGGCCCUUUGUUACAACAGCCCCGGGACCUGCCCGCGCCCACUGCCGCUGUCACCCUCCGGUCACCGCUCAGACGGACGCGAGAGAACGUGCUGGUCUCCUCCCAUCUGAACACGUCCAAGGGCAAGGCUGGCCUCUGUCCACAGCUUACGGGCUUCCUCCAUUGUUGGGGGCUAAGCUGCUCUUUUCUGAAGGGAAGGCGGCCGGCGACACCCCGUUUCCCAGAUGGAAAAACCAAGGCUCUCGGGGGGCUCCCCACGCCCACGCCAUCGCUCAGCUCUCCACAACCGCGUCUCCUGCUGCCCGCCCGGGUCAGCCUCCUUCCCGCCCAGAUGUUGGACCGAGUCCUCGGAGUUCCCGGCAGAGGGGAGAGGUCAAGAAAUUUCCGAGCUCAAAUGAGGACAGCCGCCUGGCUCUGUGACCUGCUUCGUGGAGAGCCUGGGAGGCGACUGUGGGGCAGCGAGCUGGUCGGUGACUCCAGCCCGGGCAGCGCGACCCGUUUCCCUGAGCUCACACCGCCCUCGGCCCUGUCGAAAGAGAAGCGGGCUCCGUCCAGGCCUGAGGUUGUGGCCGCUGGACGCCUGGAGCCCGACUGGUCAGCCCAGCCCAAGCCGCACCGCCACUGAGAGCCACCAGAAGCCACAGGAGCCUCCCCACCCAGCGCUCCCUCCCCUGGGCUGGCCGCCCGCACAGGGACCCGGCCACCAAGGUGACGUAAGCGGCAGAAAUUGGUGCUCCUGGAGUUCUGUGAGCUGCUUCCGGAUGACCAGUGAAAGGCACAUGUCUGAGACAGAAGGGGUGCGCGAGCCUGAGCAGAGGAGAUCGGGUUCCAUCCGAGGAGGCACAGACCCUCUUCAGCAGAUGAAAGACUGAAUCAGAACCCGCAGUCUGGCUUAUGGCGCCUGUCAGCCGAGACGACCGUGGGAUACAGGGAAGGAAAGCUCAAAAACAGAAUCAGUGAGCGCACGCGCUUCGGUCUGAGAUGCCGUCAGAUGAUGCGCGAUGCCACGGCCGCCGCGUAAAGUGCGGCGAUGUGACUGUCCCUCGGGCAGGACCGGAAGUCACUUCCCACGAAAAGUGGCAUCUGCAUUCACAUGAACUCGAAACACCUUCUCAUGCUUUCUGAACCGGUCAGCCGCCUGAGUCUUUCCUGGCUUUACACAGAACACGCCGGAGGCGAGGCUUACUCGUCAGGCCUUCCCGACUCAAGGGCGCUGCCUGUCCCCGAAGGGCGCCAGCGUGUUCUGCUGACACCCUUCCCUGUCACCGCGCUCUCACGGGCAGGGCUGACGUGACCGGGGUGGCCCAGAGUUUCCCCAUCAGCUGCAGCCGGGCAACCCUCACGGGACGCUAUCAAGAAGGACUUUCUCUCACGUCUGCGAGGCUGUGUCACGCGCCCGGGUCUGCCGGCCUCGCCACGGGUGCUCACGUACACACACCUGCCAAGUGCGGCCCUGAGACGGGAUCGUUGCCGGCCGUGGGGAGGGCCCCGCGGUGGGAGGGCAGUGGCGGGGGUGCCCCACGUGCUGGCCAAGGUGAAAUACGGCAAGAGGCAGAGCGCCAGCGAGGCCCGGGCAGCGGUCACCGGGGGCUGUGCAGUGACCACACGUCCGCGGGACGGGACUCCAGGAGCCACAGCGGGGCGCACGAAGAAAGGGGACCCGCUGGCGUGGAGGAGGCUCGUAACGGUGGCGAGGUGGGAACGAGGUCCCCUCUCCCACCGGUUGGCGCCACGGAGCCUGCACCUCGAGCAGAAAGGCACGCUGGGAAGUGCAGGCCGGGGCCGCGGAGGGAGCGCAGAGCCGAGGAGACGCGAGGCGGCAGUGGGCAGUGACGGGGACACAGUGGCGGGGACGGCGAGGGACUGGGCACAAGAGCCGAAGCUGCGUGGGGCAAGGGCUGACCUAAUACCCGUGCACCAGCAGGAGGAGCCCAGCCCUCCCUGCUCCUCAGUUCACCUCCCAACACACAAGCACUUGUCCCUUGGCCAUCCUAGCACUGGGAAGCUGUUCGGGUCAGGACCCUAGUGUUUCCUAACACUACAAUUUUCUCCUUAAGCAAGAUUUAAAAGUGAAAGGUUCAACACAUUUUGGCUUUGAAAUUUUAAGUCAGGAUGUUAAUUUUAGGGGAUUUACAUACCACAAUCUGGAGUCUUUAAUCAGGUUUCCUCCACACAUCCGGUAGUCACAACGCUAUAUGGAUCGUACAAACCCCGCAACGUACACGCUCCCAGUGACAGUUCAGUGUCACGUGUUUCCAUAGUAGGAGGCAAGGGACCCAGUUUUAAAACUCCACACACCUUCAUUUUUAUGAGACAGACAUGUACCCUUCCCCAGUAAAAACUGUGACCCACUGCCGUACCGUUCUGAAAAGCAGACACCCCAACAACCGCCCCUCUUUUCCAAGAGAUCCCUCAGGACUGUUUCCUGACAGAAGGACAGCCACACGGCCCUCACGCGGGGCUUAACGGCUGGGGGCCCCCGCUGGUGUUUAGGGCGUCUUUCUUCUGGUUCCUGGCCCAGAACCCCGGGGAGGCGACAACACGCUCGGGGCCUCGGGAGGCCCUACACUGAUUCUGCGUCCCUGUCCCUCUCCCGUAUCUUUCCAUCUCAUCCCAACUCCCUGUCAUGCGUUCUGGAUCCCCAAGACCUAGCCAAGGGGCAACUGAGAACGGGGCUUUCCCCUAGACCUACCUACUCAUUUAUGGAUCUCCCAGGGCGCAGGGAGCAUGUGAAAACAGGCACAGGGGUGCAAGCUGGGAACUCCAGAGUGCAGUGAAAGCCUCAAGACAAAGGCCCGGGUGAUGAAAACGUCCUAAAACUGACUAUGGUGGGGGUUUCACAGCUCCGGAUAAGACCCACUUAACUAUGCACUUUAAAAACGUACAUUUUAUGGUAUACGGAUUAAAUUCGAAUUAAAAAGCUGACAUCCAAGGCCCCAAACUCCUCCUUGACCUUGGAAGGCCCUCCCUCUGAACACUGUAUCCAACGUUCUCUGUAGUGACCCGACCAGGAAAACGAAUGUGUCCGUGCAGGACGGACGCAGCGUCCUGCCCACACCUCUCUACCACCUCUCCUCGGCUCCCCCCAGCCUCGUUGGGGCUUCCUCCAAGGGUGGAGACCUUUUUCUGUAGAAGGAGGGGGGCCGGGAUAGGAGCUGGACCGCAGGGCCCAGGAGCAGGGUUGCACUCCCAGAGGGAGGCUGUGCUGAGUCUCUGACGGACAUCAGAGUGGGCUGCGGUCAGAGACUGUGAGGUGAGGCUACAAAGCCACUGGGAGGCCAUGCAUCUGAGUUCGUCCCACAGCGCCGCUCCCGGCUGCCCACCCGGCCGGGUCUAUAAAUGCUGUCCUCUGCCCAAGACCCCCACUAGGCAAGAGACCGAGUGAACAGAGCAGGGAAAAGCCCCGGGAUCUGAGCUCAGACAGCAAGAGUCACAUCAGCGUCCACGUAAACCACGCUCUGUGGACUGAUCAGUAUCGCUUCAGCCUCAAACUCCUCAUCUCAUUUAUAAAAAAAUCUGUACAAGACAUUAACUUCUCAGUCUUUUCUUUGGACAGCGCCACCAACAGACACGAGCCCUGAAGACUGUAAUUCACAAAUCAGGAGCCCCCGCCCCCGAGGUUUAAAACCACUGUUUGAAUGCUCUCGAAAGAACCUGUUUUCAAAUGAAGCUCCACAGGGACCACAAGCUCCCGGCCGUGCAUGCCGAUGGCCGGAACGUCUCCGCCGAGCCUGCGGGCCCUCCUGCCCCACACAGCGGCCCUCUGCGUCCCCUCCGGGCUCUGCAGCAAGCCUGGAUCCAGGGUCUGCAGGGGACUCCUGGCUGAGCUGUAAGGGCCUCAACCGCUCUGCUUACCUAGAGGAGGUCUCACACCUCAGAGAAAGAACCUCAACCCAACGCACAGGUUCUGAAUCCAGCGGCCUUUGGGACGUCGGGGACCGAUGGCAGUUCACGGCGUCAGGUCUUUAUUCUGAGGGAAAUCGCUCCCACACGGAGCCCAAUACAGCACCUUGGUUUUGUCGACACCGCACAAUACACCCGGGCCGGGCUCCCUCCCUGACCCGAGCCUGAGCCGAGGACACCUCGCUGGCGCAGUCACUUCCUCCCGGGUCAACGACCCACACCUGGUGGAACCAGUGCGGUCACUAAGGAGCUCUCCCUCCCCGCCGCACAGACAUGCAGGACCUUGACCCUCUCCAGGCUAGAAAGAGAUGCCAGCCUCGGCUUCUGUGUGUAAUUACAGAACAAUUAAUGAACUGUGAAGCUAGAAAGAACUUAGAGAUCAUAUCUAACCUCAGUUUAGCCCACUGAAGUUCAAGUAGUUGCUUCUGGUCAAAAGACAACAGAAAAGAUUAGUUACGUGGUGAAAUCUAGAACCAGAUCUCCCAGCUGUCGGUCUGAUCUGCAGAGAAACAAAGCACUUAAACCAGGAGGGACUUGACAAAUCACUCAGGGACACCUUUACAUUUGCACAAAUAGCCCGAUGGGAUGGAUUUUCAUUUCUGCACGGAGACCCCACUUUGAGCAAUGUUUAUGCUCCAGUUCAGACAUGAAACAAGCGGGGUGC
Acinonyx jubatus (cheetah) is the source of this 5523-nucleotide long non-coding RNA. RefSeq lists it as uncharacterized. The transcript has 4 exons. Lineage: Eukaryota; Metazoa; Chordata; Mammalia; Carnivora; Felidae. The record is from RefSeq and is a predicted model, not a curated record.